RNAcentral lists this ribosomal RNA (338 nucleotides) under uncultured Prevotella sp. RNAcentral describes it as "bacterial SSU rRNA". It matches the Rfam family "Bacterial small subunit ribosomal RNA", at positions 8 to 338 of the family's 1533-position model. The record is from RNAcentral. Lineage: Bacteria; Pseudomonadati; Bacteroidota; Bacteroidia; Bacteroidales; Prevotellaceae.
AGAGUUUGAUCCUGGCUCAGGAUGAACGCUAGCUACAGGCUUAACACAUGCAAGUCGAGGGGCAGCAUGAUCUUAGCUUGCUAAGAUUGAUGGCGACCGGCGCACGGGUGAGUAACGCGUAUCCAACCUUCCCCUUAGUAGGGCAUAGCCCGUAGAAAUGCGGAUUAAUACCCUAUGUUGUAUAUUGAGGACAUCUGAUUUAUACCAAAGGUUUACCGCUAAGGGAUGGGGAUGCGUCUGAUUAGGUUGUUGGCGGGGUAACGGCCCACCAAGCCGACGAUCAGUAGGGGUUCUGAGAGGAAGGUCCCCCACAUUGGAACUGAGCCAGGAUCAAACUC